Molecule: ribosomal RNA, 1313 nt
Filed under: Neoneuromus niger
Lineage: Eukaryota; Metazoa; Arthropoda; Insecta; Megaloptera; Corydalidae
Description: Neoneuromus sp. 2 FY-2017 16S ribosomal RNA
Rfam family: Archaeal large subunit ribosomal RNA (bases 1068-1226)
Source: RNAcentral
AAAUAAAAUAUUAUUAAUUGUAUUUUGUAAAGUUGAUUUUUAAUAUAAAUAAAUUUAAUUAUAUAAUUUUUUGUAUUAUUUAAAGAUAAAAUAAUUUUUAUUAUAGUGAAUUAGUAUUGAUAAAGAAUUUUGAAAAAAUUUAUUAUUUAAUUAAAAGUAAUAUUUAUUUUAUGUACCUUUUGUAUCAGGGUUUAUUAAUUAAAGAUUAAUGAUUUUAUGAUUCUCGAAUUUAAAGGAGCUAGUUUAAUAUGAUAGUUUAUGUGUUAUAAUAAUUAUAAAUUUUAAAUUAGUAAUGAAAUGUUAUUCGUCUUUAAAAAUAUCUAGUUUUUUAAGAAAUAAAUUUAAUUUACAUAUUAAUAAUAUAAUAUUUUUUAUUUAAAAAUUAAUUAUUUGUUAAUAUGAAUAUAUUAAGGGAUAAGCUUUAAUUUAUUGGAUUAUAAUUUUAUAAAAGUAAAAAUUAAUUGUAGAUUUAGAAAUAGUUAUCAAUAAAAAUUUUGUAUUAAUUUAUAAAUAUUAUUUAAUAUUUUAUAAGAUUUAAUUAUAAUAUUAAAAUAUAUUUUUUAACAAUAAAAGAUUAGAAAUAAUGAUGAAAUUAGUAUAUAUUAUUUAUUAAUUUUAUAAUUUAAUAAAAAUUAAUUUAAGGAAUUCGGCAAAAAAAAUAUUCACCUGUUUAACAAAAACAUGUCUUUUAGAAAAUAAUUUAAAGUCUAACCUGCCCACUGAAUAAUUUUGAAGGGCCGCAGUAUUUUGACUGUGCAAAGGUAGCAUAAUCAUUAGUCUUUUAAUUGAAGGCUUGUAUGAAUGGUUGGAUGAAAUAUUAACUGUCUCAAAUUGAUAAAAUAGAAUUUAAUUUUUAAGUUAAAAAGCUUAAAUAAUAUUAAAGGACGAGAAGACCCUAUAGAUCUUUAUAUUUUUAUUUUUAAUUUUUAUUUAGAAUAAAAAUAUUUUUAAUAAUAAUAAUAUUUUAUUGGGGUGAUAAUUAAAUUUACUUAACUUUAUUUAAUAAAAACAUUAAUUUAUGAAUAAUUGAUCCAUUAUUAGUGAUUAAAAGAUUAAGUUACCUUAGGGAUAACAGCGUAAUUUUUUUAGAGAGUUCUUAUCGAUAAAAAAGUUUGCGACCUCGAUGUUGAAUUAAAGAUUAAUUUAGGUGCAGUAGUUUAAAUGUUUGGUCUGUUCGACCAUUAAAUCUUUACAUGAUUUGAGUUCAAACCGGCGUGAGCCAGGUUGGUUUCUAUCCUUAAUAAAAUAAAAUAUUUUAGUACGAAAGGACCAAAUAUUUAAAAAAAUUUUUUUUUUGUAAGAAUAAUAUUAAU